This is a transfer RNA of 150 nucleotides. It matches the Rfam family "tRNA". From Rfam's summary of the family: Transfer RNA (tRNA) molecules are approximately 80 nucleotides in length. Their secondary structure includes four short double-helical elements and three loops (D, anti-codon, and T loops). The record is from Rfam.
GGGCGGUUAGUCUAGUAGUAUAAUACCUAACCUACGUAUAGUCGAUGAUUCGUAGUGCCCGUACCUACGCCUAAUAGAGAAUAGGCUAAUUCUCGUUUCUCGACUAAGUAGGCUAGUAGGAGGUCGUAGGUUCGAUUCCUAUACCGUCUA